RNAcentral lists this ribosomal RNA (370 nucleotides) under uncultured eukaryote. Its description in RNAcentral is "SSU rRNA". It matches the Rfam family "Eukaryotic small subunit ribosomal RNA", at positions 587 to 972 of the family's 1831-position model. The record is from RNAcentral.
AGCUCUAAUAGCGUAUAUUAAAGUUGUUGCAGUUAAAAAGCUCGUAGUCGGAUGUCGGGCUCGGGCAGGCUGUCGGCUUCGGUCGGACGGCAGGCUCGGGUCUUUCUGCCUGAGGAUCCAUCUCAUUCACUUGGGGUGGGGACGCAGGCCGUUUACUUUGAAAAAAUUAGAGUGUUCAAAGCAGGCCUACGCUUGAAUACAUUAGCAUGGAAUAAUGGAAUAGGACUUUGGUGCUAUUUUGUUGGUUUAUGGGACCGAAGUAAUGAUUAACAGGGACAGUUGGGGCCGUUUAUAUUUCGUUGUCAGAGGUGAAAUUCUUGGAUUUACGAAAGAUAAACUUCUGCGAAAGCAUUCGGCAAGGAUGUUUUCA